UUCCCAUGCCGAACACAGAAGUUAAGCUUCUUAGCGCCGAGGGUAGUGAAGGGUUUCCCUUUGUGAGAGUAGGACGUCGCCAUGC
This 85-nucleotide ribosomal RNA is filed under the name Vagococcus carniphilus. Lineage: Bacteria; Bacillati; Bacillota; Bacilli; Lactobacillales; Enterococcaceae. The record is from RNAcentral.